This 821-nucleotide ribosomal RNA is filed under the name uncultured archaeon. RNAcentral describes it as "bacterial SSU rRNA". It matches the Rfam family "Archaeal small subunit ribosomal RNA", at positions 85 to 876 of the family's 1478-position model. The record is from RNAcentral.
ACGGCUCAGUAACACGUAGUCAAACCUGCCCUCGAAGACGCUGGACAACCCCGGGGAAACUGGGGAUUAAAUUCCCAUGAUAGGCCAACUCAAUCUGGAAGGGAGAGAUGGCUUAAAGGGGAAUGUGAGAGCUUCUUUUCUUUGCAUCUGCUCGAGGAUGGGACUGCGACCGAUCAGGCUGUUGGCGGGGUAAUGGCCCACCAAACCUGUAACCGGUACGGGCCUUGAGAGAGGGGGCCCGGAGAUGGACACUGAGAGAAGGGUCCAGGUCCUACGGGGCGCAGCAGGCGCGAAACCUUCGCAAUGCGCGAAAGCGUGACAAGGUUAAUCCGAGUGGUUCCCGCUUAGGGAAUCUUUUGCCGGCUGUAAAUAGGCCGGUGAAUAAGGGGAGGGCAAGUCUGGUGUCAGCCGCCGCGGUAAUACCAGCUCCUCGAGUGGUCGGGGCGAUUAUUGGGCCUAAAGCAUCCGUAGCCUGUUCUGUAGGUCUUCUGUUAAAUCCAACGGCUCAACCGUUGGCGGGCAGAGGAUACCGCAGGACUAGGAGGCGGGAGAGGUGGGCGGUACUCCACGUGUAGGGGUAAAAUCCUUUGAUCCGUGGAAGACCACCAGUGGCGAAGGCGGCCCACCAGAACGCGCUCGACGGUGAGGGAUGAAAGCUGGGGGAGCGAACCGGAUUAGAUACCCGGGUAGUCCCAGCCGUAAACGAUGCGAGCUAGAUGAUCCAGUCGCAAAUCGCGACUGGAGUGUCGCAGGGAAGCCGUUAAGCUCGCCGCCUGGGGAGUACGGUCGCUAACUGAAACUUAAAGGAAUUGGCGGGGGAG